GUUCUGGCCUGGGGUCGGGAGCGGGCAGAAACUCACCUAGUUCCAGGUCAGUCGGCGGCGGUGGAAUGGAAGAAUGGGGUGCUAGCAGAUUCGGGGCGCAGGGAGCUCCUCCCUCCCUGGGCGUGUCUGGCCCAAGCCCACAGGCACAGGCGGGGGUGGGGGGAUGGGGGUGGUGGGGUGUAUGCUGUUCUGGCCUGGGGUUGGGAGCGGGCAGAAACUCACUCACCUAGUUCCAGGUCAGUCGGCGGCGGAAUCGUGACUGUAAGAUCUUGAAAGAGCCACCUCCUGAGGGAUGUUGCCUCCCACAGUGAGCUGGACCCUGUUACAUCAAUUAACAAUCGAGAAAAUCCCCACAGAUCAAUCUGAUCUAGGGAAUCCCUCAGUUUAGGCAGGCUGUGCCUCACUAAAGCUAUCUAGGACAGAGUCCAACAUAUGUAAAAUAGUAAUUGCCACAGUGUAUUAGUUACACCUCCUUCCCUUUGCCUUUAAAAGGGGAUAUGGCAUUUUCAAAAAUAACUGUUGGUGAGAUUUGAAGAAAUUCACACAUGUACAUUGUUGGAGGGAAUCUAGAAUGAUGCUGUGUGUGGAACAUAAUUCUGGCAGUGCCUCCAAAAGCUGAAUGUAGUAUUAUCAUAUGACCUAUAAGUUCUGUGCAGAUGUACUCCAUGAGCUUUGUUUAUAAAAAUUGCACAUGAUUAUACAUAAUUAUUCACAUUGUGCAUUUUUUUAAAUACAGGGUUUCUCUGUAGCUUUGGAGCCUGUCCUGGAACUCCCUCUGUAGACCAUGCUGGCCUCAAACUCACAGAGAUCCUCCAAUCUCUGUCUCCUGAGUGCUGGGAUUAAAGAAGUGCUAUAAACAGAGGACCUUCACCAGCAGCAUGUUUUGUGGAUGUAAGAGUUCUGGGAAUGGUAGAAUCUUCAUAAGUUCCUUUGCUAGUUAAUUUCAUUUUUGUUUCCUUUUUUGAGGGUGGGAGCAAGGACAGUGUUAGAGAUUGACAGUGCUUGAACAAAAACACAGAGCAAAUAGAGUUGUUGUUGUUUUUUUUCAGUCACACUUUGACUAUAUAUUGGUGUCAGUGAGCAGGAUGACCCCCAUGCCCCAAGGUUCCUAGAGGAAGAGGGAAACCUGCUGCCACUGCCUACCCUGUUGGGCCGCUGAGAGACAUCGGAGCAGGUUCCAUACGCUCGAGCAGUCUCUGUGCUCUUGGGGGUUGGACUCUGGCACUCCCGAGAUGGCCUGCAGCUCUUGAGGGUUCUAGGGUUAGGAUUCUGAGCUCUCACCACCACAAGCUAUCUUCGUGCAACUAGUCGAACAGUGGCAGAACCUGGGCAGCUGGAGGUAGUGUUACGAGCUUUCAUGUAAACUUCACAAAAACUUAAAAAUGAAUUUUAGCAGCAAAAGAUCAGAGACAAGCACGACUUCUUGCUAGCAUCAUUUUCUUGGGUGGUCUCUGUUUUGCUAGAGACAAGCAAAGACUCGAGUGGUUGCUUUAAGAGAGAUUUCCUGACUCAGCAAAAGCAGAAAAAAACUGCAGGACUCUUUAAGAGGCCCCUCUAGCUCAGUUGGCAGAGCAUGAGACUUUUGAUGUGGGUUCCUGCCCUAUGCAGCUGGCAGUGGCAGUGACCACAUCUCCAAGGCGGCAGCGUGCUCCUUGAAAGAUAUCGGCUAAGAAAGCUGCCACUUUAAUUUUUGUGGUGUUGUUUAACAGUUAAAAGACUGCAUGUCCAGAAGAAGGUAAAGAUUUACAAUAAAGACAGAUCCAGAUAAAGAAAAACCUCUGAAGUGUUUAAAAAUAUAUGUAGGCUUGUGAGAGAAAAAGUAACAGGAGGAAAUAGAGUAGCUGGGUGUGGGGGCACUCACCUUUAAUCCCAGCACUCCCAAAGCAGAGGCAGGCAGAUUUCCACAGAGAAACCCUGUCUCAGGAAAAAUGAAAGAAAAGGAAGUAAAAAUAGAAAAAUAGAAAAGCCACCCAAAGAUGAAAAAUACACAGAGAGUCUGGAUACUAUAUGCUAUAUUGUCUUUAAAUUGUUUGAUUGCCGAGGAAAGAGUUUCUGCUACUAAAAUACAUUUGAUUAUAAAUACAGCUAAAUUAAUCCAACUUAUACAUUUUAAAAAUGCUUUGACUUCAAAAUUUAAGUCUAAGGACAGGCUACUUGAAAAAAAAAGUUUUUGCUUGUGUUUCCACAGAAAAUCAAAAGCUGUGGAUUCCUUCCAGACUAAUAUGGUUUGAUCAAGCAAGACCCCUGAAGCUGAGAUGAUACAGUCUUACAGACUAUGAAAACAAGGACUUGGUCGAAUUUCUGUGUUUUAUCAUGAUCCCUAUGGUAUGGACAUCACCCCCAAUCAGCAGGAAGCAGUUUGGAAUGAACUACGCCUAAAUUCCCAAAUAUUGUUUAUAAAUGUUUGUUUUCAUUUAAAUGGAGUUGGUUAUAAAUGAUAAUGAGCAUAGUCAAUCUCUUUUCUUAAAAAAGGGGGGAUAUAGGAUAUAGGAAUGAAUACUUUGCAUUGAUAUGGACUUUCAUUUAUUGAUGCAACUUUAAGAUCAAUUUUGUGAUAUGUAUAUGUCUCCUCUUGUUUAGAUAUUGUGUUUAUACAGAUCUUUUAAAAUGAUAUACAUAAUUAAAUACAGGUUAUAUAGUUAUCUAUAAUAGUCAGAACUUAUAAUUAGGUUAGUUAGGUUUUCUAGAUAUACAGAGAUGUAUUUGAGAUGGAUAGGUAUUCUUUAAUUAAAUCUUUCAAAGACCGACAGAAUAUAUGGCAUUUAAAUGGUUUAGGGUUUUUCUUGGCAGUGAGACACAACUGCUCCUGGCACACCAAUUACAUCAGAAAGGAGGAUGGGCAUCGAAGAAACUCGUUAUGGAGUUUGCUUUCAACAUGGCAAGAUUAGCCAUUUGGGCAAGAAACUACUCUUGCCUGGAUUGUUUGUUGCUGUAUAAACUGGACGUGCAGGACCCACAAGAAAGUGACUGCUGAACUUACAAAACAAGACAGUACUGAAGGGUCCUGUUGAAAUGCAGAAGUGUGCCAGACACACAGCAGAUGUGGUGCUGGAGCUCAGAGUCCUACAUCUUGACUCAGAGGCAACAGGAAGUCAGCUGGCUGUCACACUGUGGGAAACUUGAGCAAAAGAGUCCUUACAGCCCACCCUCACAGUGACACACUUCCUUUAAGAAGGCUACAACUCCCAAUAGUGCCACUCCCUUUGGGGGCCAUAUUCUUUCAAACCACCACACUUGGGUGCAGCUUCCCUGUCAUAUAUAGAAGACACAGCCUCACAGCAGACAUCCUGUCUCUCUGGCUUUUACGAUCUUCUUAAUGCUUACAGAAGGCAUGCAAAACCUUGCAUCUAUUCCAUCUCUAGAUGUAUCUCUGCUUCAGCCAAACCUCAUUACACACUGUUGCUUUCCAGUGUCUUAUCAGCCAUGUGUUUAAGUGCUUCACCCUGAUUAGAACACACUUCCUGUCAUGUAACAUGAAAAAUAAAAAGCCCCAGAGACUGAUAUUGGGGUUCAAACUUCAAGCUGAAGAUCAGAAAAGAAAAGCAGCCAAUCCUAGCUUUUACCUUUACCUCAGGCUGAAAAGGCUGAUCCUGCUGCCUCUCCUCAGAGUGACUGGAGAUUCCUGAGACUGAAUGUCCUCCUAUCCUCAAUGUGUCUGGAGGAUGAAUUCUCAAUACUGAGACCUUGCUCCUGUCUUAUAUACCUCUCAUGAGUUCCAGGAUUAAAGGUGUGAGCUCUAAUUCUCUUUUAAACUGAUUUACUCUAAUGUGUCCUUGGGCGGCCUUGAAUUUAGAGAGAUCCAUCUGCCUUUAACUCCUGAAUCCUGGGAUUAAAGGUGUGUACUACCACCUACUGACCUCUAUAGCUUGUGGCUGACUUUGCUUUCUGAAUCCUCAGGCAAGCUUUAAUAAAUCAUAAAUGAUACAUCACCACACUAUCCUCACCUCAGAUUCACCUGGGAAAAUGGCUUGGACUUUACCAAGACUUAACCCAACUGACACUUACUUCUUGUUUCACACCUUACCUCUUUGCCAUUGUGUCAAGGAGGUGUCUGGGUAGUCACUUCCCACUGAUAUACACAAUCUCUUCUUUUUGAGCACUGCAAUCAGUAGCAUUUCAACAUAGCUCCCACCAUAUCUUACCGCAUGGCUUUCCACUCCUGAAUCUCUCUCCCUCUGCUGUGGGCUCCUCAGGAGUGGAGGUCAAGUUAGUUGCAACAUGUCUCAAGUCACAGUUUGUCCAAUGCCCAUUAAAUGUAUAUUGAAUUAAAAGUUGGAAAAUCUAUGAGUGAACAGAUGUUUGUGAGGGGUGUAAGUGAAUGGACACUGAAAUCAGACUGGAUAGGUAUCUAUAAUUCUGUUCAAUUAAAUGUGAUAGUGCGCUGGGCAGUGGUGGCACACGCCUUUAAUCUGAGCACGUGGAAGGCAGAUCUCUGAGUUCAAGGCCAGACUGAUCUACAAAGCAAGUUUCAGGACAGCCAGGAUUACACAGAGAAAUCCUGUCUCAAACCACUCCCCUACAAAUGUGACAGUGUUAUGUAAACUUCAGAGACAACCUCACAGCAACUCUGGAGCUAAAAUUCAAACCCAGAUCUUCCAAACCAGCACUGUCUGUAAUAUUGCCUUCUAAAUUUAAAAUAUUGGAUCUAGGGUCACAGCUCAUUGGCAAAGCAUUCAC
RNAcentral lists this long non-coding RNA (4677 nucleotides) under Cricetulus griseus (Chinese hamster). Its description in RNAcentral is "lncRNA (ENSCGRG00015035025.1)". The record is from RNAcentral. Lineage: Eukaryota; Metazoa; Chordata; Mammalia; Rodentia; Cricetidae.